Molecule: long non-coding RNA, 847 nt
Organism: Bos taurus (domestic cattle)
Lineage: Eukaryota; Metazoa; Chordata; Mammalia; Artiodactyla; Bovidae
Source: Ensembl
AGUUUAUAAAAAUUCCAAGUAAAGCAGUACUUCUGAUGAAAUUGGCCAGAUGUAACAUGGCCAAGAUGCCAGCUCUGUGUGGGUGGGUGUAACGGAGCCACAUGGGGCCAGGUCUGGCGAGGAUGGCAAGAGACAUCUGGGGAGACACGUGGACAUGGGAGUGGACAGCUUGGAGGCACCGCGGCAUAACAGAUCUUCCCAACAACUGAGCAUCGCAAGAGAAAAGGGAAGUUCCUCAGCACAUCUCUCCCAUCUCCUGCCUUCCUGAAACUCAGGACAAGAAAGUAGAUUUGUGUCCGACUCUUUGUGAUGCCAAGGACUGCAGCCCACCAGGCUCACCUGUCCAUGGAAUUUUCCAGUAACAAAGCUUUUGAACUGUGGUGUUGGAGAAGACUCUUGAGAGUCCCUUGACAGCAAGAAGAUCCAACCAGUCCAUUCUUAAGGAGAUCAGUCCUGGGAGUUCUUUGGAAGGAAUGAUGCUAAAGCUGAAUCUCCAAUACUUUGGCCACCUCAUGUGAAGAGUUGACUUAUUGGAAAAGACUGAUGCUGGGAGGGACUGGGGGCAGGAGAAGAAGGGGACGACAGAGGAUGAGAUGGUUGGAUGGCAUCACCGACUCGAUGGACAUGAGUUUGAGUAUACUCUGGGAGUUGGUGAUGGACAGGGAGGCCUGGAGUGCUACAGUCCAUGGGGUUGCAAAGAGUCGGACACGACUGAGCGACUGAACUGAACAACUAGAAAGUGAAAUUUAAAAAUAAGAUGCCAUUUAUCAUUGUUCCCAAGAACACCAAAAGCUCCAGGUUCGAUGCAGGAUACAGGAAGCCUGGGGCUGGUGCACUGGGAUGACCC